UAAUGGACACGCUCAGAUAAUGAUAAAGGAGCACCUAAUUCAUCCGUAAUAGCUUGUACAAUAUCGUCUUUUCUGUUUUCAUAUUCUUUUACAAUUUUAUCUAAUAACGCUUGUCUUUCUUUCACAGAUGUAUGACGGA
Molecule: small RNA, 139 nt
Filed under: Staphylococcus aureus
Lineage: Bacteria; Bacillati; Bacillota; Bacilli; Caryophanales; Staphylococcaceae
Description: 5'UTR
Source: RNAcentral